RNAcentral lists this ribosomal RNA (481 nucleotides) under uncultured bacterium. RNAcentral's name for it is "partial 16S ribosomal RNA". It matches the Rfam family "Bacterial small subunit ribosomal RNA", at positions 28 to 507 of the family's 1533-position model. The record is from RNAcentral.
GAUGAACGCUGGCGGCGUGCUUAACACAUGCAAGUCGAACGAAGCAUUUAAGACAGAUUACUUCGGUUUGAGGUCUUUUAUGACUGAGUGGCGGACGGGUGAGUAACGCGUGGGUAACAUGCCUCAUACAGGGGGAUAGCAGCUGGAAACGGCUGGUAAUACCGCAUAAGCGCACAGUACCACAUGGUACAGUGUGAAAAACUCCGGUGGGAUGAGAUGGAGCCGCGUCUGAUUAGCUUGUUGGCGGGGUAACGGCCCACCCAGGCGACGAGCAGUAGCCGACCUGAGAGGGUGACCGGCCACAUUGGGACUGAGACACGGCCCAGACUCCUACGGGAGGCAGCAGUGGGGAAUAUUGCACGAUGGAGGAAACUCUGAUGCAGCGACGCCGCGUGAGUGAAGAAGUAGUUCGCUAUGUAAAGCUCUAUCAGCAGAGAAGAUAGUGACGGUACCUGACUAAGAAGCUCCGGCUAAAUACGUG